Molecule: ribosomal RNA, 1556 nt
Filed under: Salmonella enterica subsp. enterica serovar Anatum str. USDA-ARS-USMARC-1727
Lineage: Bacteria; Pseudomonadati; Pseudomonadota; Gammaproteobacteria; Enterobacterales; Enterobacteriaceae
Description: bacterial SSU rRNA
Rfam family: Bacterial small subunit ribosomal RNA
Source: RNAcentral
ACUUAAAUUGAAGAGUUUGAUCAUGGCUCAGAUUGAACGCUGGCGGCAGGCCUAACACAUGCAAGUCGAACGGUAACAGGAAGCAGCUUGCUGCUUCGCUGACGAGUGGCGGACGGGUGAGUAAUGUCUGGGAAACUGCCUGAUGGAGGGGGAUAACUACUGGAAACGGUGGCUAAUACCGCAUAACGUCGCAAGACCAAAGAGGGGGACCUUCGGGCCUCUUGCCAUCAGAUGUGCCCAGAUGGGAUUAGCUUGUUGGUGAGGUAACGGCUCACCAAGGCGACGAUCCCUAGCUGGUCUGAGAGGAUGACCAGCCACACUGGAACUGAGACACGGUCCAGACUCCUACGGGAGGCAGCAGUGGGGAAUAUUGCACAAUGGGCGCAAGCCUGAUGCAGCCAUGCCGCGUGUAUGAAGAAGGCCUUCGGGUUGUAAAGUACUUUCAGCGGGGAGGAAGGUGUUGUGGUUAAUAACCGCAGCAAUUGACGUUACCCGCAGAAGAAGCACCGGCUAACUCCGUGCCAGCAGCCGCGGUAAUACGGAGGGUGCAAGCGUUAAUCGGAAUUACUGGGCGUAAAGCGCACGCAGGCGGUCUGUCAAGUCGGAUGUGAAAUCCCCGGGCUCAACCUGGGAACUGCAUUCGAAACUGGCAGGCUUGAGUCUUGUAGAGGGGGGUAGAAUUCCAGGUGUAGCGGUGAAAUGCGUAGAGAUCUGGAGGAAUACCGGUGGCGAAGGCGGCCCCCUGGACAAAGACUGACGCUCAGGUGCGAAAGCGUGGGGAGCAAACAGGAUUAGAUACCCUGGUAGUCCACGCCGUAAACGAUGUCUACUUGGGGGUUGUGCCCUUGAGGCGUGGCUUCCGGAGCUAACGCGUUAAGUAGACCGCCUGGGGAGUACGGCCGCAAGGUUAAAACUCAAAUGAAUUGACGGGGGCCCGCACAAGCGGUGGAGCAUGUGGUUUAAUUCGAUGCAACGCGAAGAACCUUACCUGGUCUUGACAUCCACAGAAGAAUCCAGAGAUGGAUUUGUGCCUUCGGGAACUGUGAGACAGGUGCUGCAUGGCUGUCGUCAGCUCGUGUUGUGAAAUGUUGGGUUAAGUCCCGCAACGAGCGCAACCCUUAUCCUUUGUUGCCAGCGAUUAGGUCGGGAACUCAAAGGAGACUGCCAGUGAUAAACUGGAGGAAGGUGGGGAUGACGUCAAGUCAUCAUGGCCCUUACGACCAGGGCUACACACGUGCUACAAUGGCGCAUACAAAGAGAAGCGACCUCGCGAGAGCAAGCGGACCUCAUAAAGUGCGUCGUAGUCCGGAUUGGAGUCUGCAACUCGACUCCAUGAAGUCGGAAUCGCUAGUAAUCGUGGAUCAGAAUGCCACGGUGAAUACGUUCCCGGGCCUUGUACACACCGCCCGUCACACCAUGGGAGUGGGUUGCAAAAGAAGUAGGUAGCUUAACCUUCGGGAGGGCGCUUACCACUUUGUGAUUCAUGACUGGGGUGAAGUCGUAACAAGGUAACCGUAGGGGAACCUGCGGUUGGAUCACCUCCUUACCUUAAAGAA